AGUUUCAGAUUGUGUAACAAUGGCAGGUACAGCUUCUACGCAAGAUGUCAUGGUGCCAUGUUUUGUAUAGUGAUUGCAUUAUAAAUGCCUCACGAUGAGAGAAGAUCACCCUGAAGUAAGUUAUAUCCAACAAUGCAAGAAAGACCUGAGUCCAGCUGUGUUUAUGAAAAGUAACCAGUCAAUCGAACACCCAGUAAACCUGAAGGAUAAAGACACUUGGGACCACAGGUAUAAUGCACUGGAUCAAACAUAACCAUAUAAAUAUUCCUCUGUAUUCAUGACAAUUUACAGCCAUUAGGUAAAUUGAAAAUUAUUUUACAAUAGAAAUUGUU
Misgurnus anguillicaudatus (oriental weatherfish) is the source of this 332-nucleotide non-coding RNA. The record is from RefSeq and is a predicted model, not a curated record. Lineage: Eukaryota; Metazoa; Chordata; Actinopteri; Cypriniformes; Cobitidae.